CCUACGGGGGGCUGCAGUGGGGAAUAUUGGACAAUGGGCGCAAGCCUGAUCCAGCAAUGCCGCGUGUGUGAAGAAGGCCUGCGGGUUGUAAAGCACUUUAAGCAGGAAAGAAGGGGUGGAAGUUAAUACCUUUCAUCAUUGACGUUACCUGCAGAAUAAGCUCCGGCUAACUCCGUGCCAGCAGCCGCGGUAAUACGGAGGGUGCAAACGUUAAGCGGACUUACUGGGCGUAGUGCGCGCGUAGCGGCGUGAAAGCCCCGGGCUUAACCUGGGAACUGCGGUUGAUACUGUCGAGCUAGAGUGUGGUAGAGGGGAGUGGAAUUUCCGGUGUAGCAGUGAAAUGCGUAGAGAUCGGAAGGAACACCAGUGGCGAAGGCGGCUCCCUGGACUAACACUGACGCUGAGGUGCGAAAGCGUGGGGAGCAAACAGGAUUAGAUACCCGUGUAGUC
RNAcentral lists this ribosomal RNA (450 nucleotides) under uncultured bacterium. RNAcentral describes it as "partial 16S ribosomal RNA". It matches the Rfam family "Bacterial small subunit ribosomal RNA", at positions 338 to 795 of the family's 1533-position model. The record is from RNAcentral.